This 746-nucleotide ribosomal RNA is filed under the name Enterocloster aldenensis. Its description in RNAcentral is "[Clostridium] aldenense partial 16S ribosomal RNA". It matches the Rfam family "Bacterial small subunit ribosomal RNA", at positions 803 to 1533 of the family's 1533-position model. The record is from RNAcentral. Lineage: Bacteria; Bacillati; Bacillota; Clostridia; Lachnospirales; Lachnospiraceae.
UAAACGAUGAGUACUAAGUGUUGGGAGUCAAAUCUCAGUGCUGCAGUUAACGCAAUAAGUACUCCGCCUGAGUAGUACGUUCGCAAGAAUGAAACUCAAAGGAAUUGACGGGGGCCCGCACAAGCGGUGGAGCAUGUGGUUUAAUUCGAAGCAACGCGAAGAACCUUACCAAGUCUUGACAUCCCCCUGACCGGCACGUAACGGUGCCCUUCCUUCGGGACAGGGGAGACAGGUGGUGCAUGGUUGUCGUCAGCUCGUGUCGUGAGAUGUUGGGUUAAGUCCCGCAACGAGCGCAACCCUUAUCCUUAGUAGCCAGCACGUCGUGGUGGGCACUCUAGGGAGACUGCCAGGGAUAACCUGGAGGAAGGUGGGGAUGACGUCAAAUCAUCAUGCCCCUUAUGACCUGGGCUACACACGUGCUACAAUGGACAGAGCAGAGGGAAGCGAAGCCGCGAGGUGGAGCGAAACCCAGAAAACUGUUCUCAGUUCGGACUGCAGUCUGCAACUCGACUGCACGAAGUUGGAAUCGCUAGUAAUCGCGAAUCAGCAUGUCGCGGUGAAUACGUUCUCGGGCCUUGUACACACCGCCCGNNNNNNNNNNNNNNNNNNNNNNNNNNCGGUAACACCCGAAGCCGGUGGCCUAACCGCAAGGAAGGAGCUGUCUAAGGUGGGACUGAUGAUUGGGGUGAAGUCGUAACAAGGUAUCCCUACGGGAACGUGGGGAUGGAUCACCUCCUUUCUAGGGA